GAUGAACGCUGGCGGCGUGCCUAAUACAUGCAAGUCGAGCGAACGGACGAGAAGCUUGCUUCUCUGAUGUUAGCGGCGGACGGGUGAGUAACACGUGGAUAACCUACCUAUAAGACUGGGAUAACUUCGGGAAACCGGAGCUAAUACCGGAUGAUAUUUUGAACCGCAUGGUUCAAAAUUGAAAGACGGUCUUGCUGUCACUUAUAGGUGGAUCCGCGCUGCAUUAGCUAGUUGGUAAGGUAACGGCUUACCAAGGCAACGAUGCAUAGCCGACCUGAGAGGGUGAUCGGCCACACUGGAACUGAGACACGGUCCAGACUCCUACGGGAGGCAGCAGUAGGGAAUCUUCCGCAAUGGGCGAAAGCCUGACGGAGCAACGCCGCGUGAGUGGUGAAGAUCUUCGGAUCGUAAAACUCUGUUAUUAGGGAAGAACAUAUGUGUAAGUAACUGUGCACAUCUUGACGGUACCUAAUCAGAAAGCCACGGCUAACUACGUG
This 497-nucleotide ribosomal RNA is filed under the name uncultured bacterium. RNAcentral's name for it is "partial 16S ribosomal RNA". It matches the Rfam family "Bacterial small subunit ribosomal RNA", at positions 28 to 507 of the family's 1533-position model. The record is from RNAcentral.